AGGAAAUUUACAUGCAGGAUCUCGCUUGGUUCCCUAGGACCCUAUUAAUAUAAGGAGUGUUGUUCUCACUUUGCAGACCAGGACACAGACUAGGAGAGAUUAAGUAAUUUGUCCACUGCCAUUCAGCCAGUGAACUUCUGAACCCAGGCCCGUCUGCCCUGCUGGUCCGUGCUUUCCCCCAGAGGGAAGGGGUUGUCUGGCUCCCAGGUGGCCUCUCCCAUCUCCCUGAUGGCCUCAUCCUCAGGUCAUGCAUCCCUUCUGGUCCUUGCCGUUGCUACUAACUCAGUUGGCAGCACGCAGGAUCAGAGUUAGACAGCAGGAAGGACUUCCCGAGAGGCUGUGCGAUGGAAUGACAUUUCCUUUCCUACAGAUGUUUAUGAACCCUUCAUUUUUGGCAGGGAAGGAGGGUGGGUGUGACGGGGACACGUAAUCACCAGCUCUCUGUGAACCUUGGCUGUCGUCUCUCUUGGCGGUUAAGCUCUCUGUGACCCAUGUUGGCUGGAACAUGGGGGAAGUCCUGUGGCUUUGGCCAGGGUGGCUCAUGGGGCUGCUGGGAGUGGAAGUGUUGAGGCUGACCCGUCGUCUCUGAUCCUGGAUUCCAGGCCGGCCUCUGGGCUUCAGACUUUGCCACAGCACUCUUCCUUCCAGGUUUGGGCCUCCUUGCCAAGGGUUGAAGCCUCCCAUUGACAUAGGUCCAGGGGUCCUGAGUCAGGGGUCUGCCACAACAGGCCGGGAGUCUGCACACCCCGAGUGGCCUCCGAGCCACCUCCUCUGUGCCACAGUGAUCGUGCUGACCAUCUAAUGAGACCUGCAGGGGGUAGCAGCUUGAUAGGGAAUCAGACUGGAAGCUGAGGAAGAGGUCCAGAAGCUUCUGCCUAAAUGGGGGUAGGGAUGGGCGUGGGAGGCAGGGAUUUGGAUGUCUUUGGGUUAGAGGUGGCAGUUGACUCAAGGAGCAUGGAUGCUGGCACAGGGAGAAGGGAUAGCGUUUGAAGAGAGGAUGCCUGGGGCAUUUGAGGCUUUGGAGAGCACCCAUACCUGGGGGGGGGGCGGUGCAGAGAGGAAGGAGGGGGGGAACUGAGGAGGCUGUGUUCUGGGAGCCAAAGAAGCAGCCAGGGACCAGCAGAGGAUGAGCCUAGGAAAGACCCUGGGAUUUAGGCAGAAGGUGGUGGCUGGUGACUUGGUGAGAGGAGCGUGGAUGGAGCCGUGGGGGCAACGCUGGGCUGCAGGGGCCGUGGGGGAGGGGGGAGGACCUUGCUUUCUGUGCCUGAGCUUCUGGGAGGAAGGGCGUGAGGCCCUGGGCUGGCAGGCGGUAGGGGCUCUGAGUGUGGGAUCUGCAGGGCGAGGCUCACCGGAGGGCGAGGAGGGACAAUUGUGUGGCUCUGGUCACAGGGGGGCAUGUCGGAGCUGCCUCAGGCUGGGGGUCUUGAGGAAGGCUUCCUGGAGAAGGUGCCCCCUGCUUGGGUCUGGGGCAUGAGGAAGGCUGAGGUGUCCUGGACAGAAGGAGGAGCCUAGGCCCAGGUGCAGGCGUGGGAGUGUGGAGGUGCCGAGGGAGGUGGCAGCCCUGGGGAGCAGGCUUUGGGUGCUGGGGUGGGUGGGUCUGAAGGCCCCUUCUACUCAUGUAGUCACACCUCAGAUGUCUUUGGUGAGCUCCUUUUCUUUUCUUUUUUCUUUUCUUUGCUGCACCUGCCACAUAUGGAAGUUCCCAGACUAAGGGUCGAAUCAGAGCUGCAGGAGCCAGCCACAGCCACAGCCACAGCAACGCCAGAUCUGAGCCGCGUCUGUGACCUCCACUGCAGCCUGUGGCAACUCCAGAUCCUUAACCCACUGUGCGAGGCCAGGGAUGGAACCCACACCCUUUAUGGAUACUAGUCAGAUUCUUAACCUGCCAAGCCACAACGGGAACUCGGGGCUAUUUCUGUUUCCUGUUUGCUGGUCCAUUGAUCAGCUGUGGGUCUGGCUCCUAGGAGAUGCCUGGCAGGGCUUUGUUGACGUGCCUGAGCUGUCAGCCCGGGGGCUCUGGCCCUGCUGCAAUUACAGCUUUCCCGUUGGGGACCCAAGGAAGGAAGCCCUGCUUCCCACAUUAGACUGGGUGUUGGGGGGCCUCCUCCAUCAGAUUGGGAGGUCCUAAGGGAGGGGAUGUGCCCCCCAUCAGCAUAGGCUUCCUGCAAGUGAGCCUGUUUCCCGCUCAUCGGACGGCCUUCUGCAGGUGGGAGCCGUGUCUUUGGCAUCGGACCCGGGGCUCCCAGCGGUGGGACGCGUCUCCAGUCCGAGCCCUGGGAUUAGGACGGGUAUUAACCCUGAUGGUUCCCGAGCAUCCUCCCUCCCUCCUGUGUGCAGGAUGGGUCCUGCCUGGGGGUGGCUUGAGUCCUAGUAGGACAAGUAUAGACAGAGCGGGUGGGGAGGACAGGGUGGCUGCUUUUGAGAGAAGAACAAAGGACGCUGUUGUCCCAGCCCCCUCCCUCCCUCCCAAGGGGCCCCGGGCAGGGUCAUCUCUCUGGAGACGCACCUCCUCCUUCCUGGGCCCGGCCCCAUCUUUAGUCCCACUUGAGAGGAACUGCUUGUUCCUUCCCAAGAGACCUGGUGCCAGACGAGGCCCCUGGGAGGCCAGGCCCCAGGGACUGGACCGGACAGGUCCCUGGAGUUCUGUGUGGUUGAAGUCAGCAUGGCCACUGAGCAGCUUUCCCUCUGCCUAGAGCCGGGCCCGACUGGGCUGAGAGCACAGCCAGUGUCAUGGGCCCUCUGGUACCUCAAGAGGGAUCCGGAGCAGGUGCGAUGCUGUGGCCCAUGCUGGGCCACCAGAGGCAGGACUCACCUCUCUGGCUCUGAGCUGUUCAGUGGCUGUGCAGGGGGCACCCGGAGGCCCAGAAGCUGAACGGGUAUGGAUCUGCAUGAGGCAGGCGCUCUCUCCCAUCCUGGCCCUGGGCCUCUGGCCCCACACUUGGUCCUCUUGUCCUUUUGCAGCCUCCCGCCGCCCCCCAGCCUGUGCAAUCAGUGGGCAUGGAUGCGUUUUGGCAAAGGACAAGGAAGGGGGUGGGGAGUGGUCUACCAGGAUGUGCCAUCUCAGAAGGGUCCCAGAGGUAUGCUCUAAGGCUUGCUCAUUGCUGUGUGACCUUGGGCAUGAUAUUCACCCUCUCUGGACUUGGUGUCCCUACUGAAGUCAAAUCAGCUGGAGUGUAUGAAGCCCUUCUCCCAGAGUCACCUGUUUUUCUGUGUUCUGCUAGGGGCCUUGGGGGUGACCUUCCUUCUGAGGGGGCAGAAAAGGGAGACUGGGCAACUCAGGCCUCUGCCAUACUCCAGUGGGACUGAGACCCCCGGCGGAGCUGGGCCUGGGGGGCUGUGAGUCAUGCUCUCUCUGUGGGAUCAGGCCCUCGCCGCAGCAGCCUCCCACCUCCCAAAGCACCUGCAGGAACCACCAGGCAGGUCCUGGAAGAUUGCAUUCUCUCUGCCCACGCUGUGCCCUCCUCUGAGUGCCCACAGCCCUCUCUGGGAUCUGAUUAGCAAAUAUUAGGGGCUGAUUAGCCUAGUGGUUAGGCUAUAGGAAGAACCAGAUUUCCUGGUUUCAAAUACCAGCUCUGCCACUUACCGGCCUGGUGACCUCUGCUGAUUAUUUAACCCCUUCUCUGCUGUAGCGCCCUCCUCUGUAAAAUGGAGUAGCAGCAGUGCCUGCGUCGUGGGUUGUCUCGAAGAUUAAAUGGGUUAAGAUCGGUACGCCUUGGAGACAAGUCCCCAGCCCAAGUGCAGUGUCAUACGAGGUGACCUCGCAGUGCCCUUCCUGUCCUUCAAGGCCCGAAUCACAUGUGCCCUCCUCUGGGAAGCCCCCUGCCCCGGAUCUCCAAGUGCCUCGUGACUUCUUUUCAGCUGUAUAUUCAUUCUCUCGCUUUCUGUCAGCACUCAUCCUUCCCUCUCUUUGUGGGUUCUUUGCACACUCGUGAUGUCCUCUGUGUGAGGCCAAGGGCACCUGGCGGGGGCCUCUUGUCCCUUUGCACCUGUGCAGACCUGGCGUGGCCCGAGCUCCAUACGUUCGGCGAAGGAGGGUGAUGUAGGCAUACUUGGGGAUGGGCAGUGUGGUGGGUGGGACAGCAUUGCUGAUUCUGAAAUAUCUAAAGGUGGCCCAGAGCCACAGGCCUUAGGUUAUUUUCUGUGCUUUGAAGGGCGGAGGUUACCGCAUGACUGGCUUUACUUUGCUAGGAGAAUGUGUUUUCAGACAAGCAGAGCUACCUGGCGACGGGAUUGGUGGCUCCUUCCAGCCUUCGUGCCUUUGUUCCUGUUGCGUCUGCCAUUGCGAAUGGCAUCCUUGGAGUUCCCUUGUGGCUGAGGGGUUAAGGACUUCCCAUUGUCAUUGCUAUGGCUUGGGUCGCUGAGUGGCAUGUGUUUGAUCCCUGGCCUGGGAACUUCUGCAAGCCAAGGGUGCAGCCAAAAAAAAAAGAAAAAGAAAAAGAAUGAGAGAAGGCCAUCGCUGCUUCUCUCUGUUCAAAUUCUACUUCCUAAAUACAUGCCCAGCCAUGGCGCCAUCCUUUCCCGGCCCCCAGAGGUGGGCUCUCAUUUCAUCACGCCCAUCCUCAGACAGCUCCUGGGUCGGGGCAGUGACAUGGGAGAGUAGGGUGGGUUAUUUGCACACUCGUGAUGUCCUCUGUGUGAGGCCAAGGGCACCACGUCUCCCUUUGGAACAGACAUCUGGAUCUGGCUCCAGGGUAUCCAGGGUGGUUUGACCUGACUUGAGGAGGGGACCAUGGCUUCUGAUGACCCACUGGUGAUCAAGGAGCUCUUUAUGUGGCUGGAGAGCCCUCCCUUGGCCCACUGGCAGAGCGCUGAACUCCCCAGCAGCUUCCCACUGGGCAAGGACUCAGAACCCACCUAAUUACUGGGGACAGAGUUCUGGGCACUGGAUCCAGCAGGCUGUGGUCAUAAUCAGCUAAUUAACCCCCCCCCCACCCCAGGCAUUGCUCCUUGGCCAGAGGAGCAGAGGGAAGGGGGCCUUGAGGCUCAGAAGAGAUGUGAAGACACGGUGCUGUGCCGCGGGAGUUCAGACCCUGGGUCGGCUGAGCAGAGGUGGGCAGGGCAGCAGGGAGACCCACAGCCGAUGAGAGAGGGGGCUCCUUGGGCGCAGCACUCAAGUGAGAGGAAGCGGGGCAGGGGUCUGGGCUGGGAGAUGGACCCCACUGUUCACGGUCCCUGUGAUGUUGUGGACGAGCCGCUUUUCCGCUUUGGGCCUCAGUGUCUCUGUGUGUCAGGCAGCAGGGGGAGAGGGCUUGGCCUGGAAGGUCUCCAGGACCCUCUGCUUCUCAGUUCUGCGGCUGGCGAGGGGGUGGCCUAAACAGCAGGCUGUGUUUCCGCCCAACAGCUUGGCCUCGAGCAAGCCCGUCUUCUGGAAGGGACAGGCGGGGCUCCAGGCUGAUCCAGCCUGAGACCGAGGCACUGGAGGUUAAUCAGAAGGGAAGACUGCAGGGGGCAGCAGGCGAGCCCUGUCAUGCCCUUUUCCCUGCCCUGUCCUCGUGACUGGCCUGUGGUCCCCAAAUGAGUGUCCUCAGCCAGUGACGGUUUGAGGCUGUGCCGUGUCUUUUCCAACAGUCUGGAAAUUUCCCAAGUAGCGCACCCAGAUGUGUGGGGAUGGGGCUUCCCGAAGGUCAAACCACCGGUUUCUCUGUGUGGAUUUCGGAAUCACACCAACUUGGUUUUGCUGCCCCACAGGUGUUGUGCACCAGCUCCACGACCCUGGGUGGGGGGUCUUAAACUCUCUGCGCAUCCGUUUCCUCAUUUGUGAAAUCAGGGGCAGGGAGGGUAGGGAUUUGCCAAAAGCCAUUUGCUCUCUGUCGCCUCUCUCCCUGCCCCCACUCCCGUUGUCCUGGCCCAGGCUGUGUGCCCUGCAGGGUUUGCAGGGGUGGGGGCUGUUCUGGGGCCAGAGGAGAAGGUCAGAGGGUGGCUGGAAAGGGAAGUGAGAUUGCCCAGGCCCAGGGCGGGGUGGAGCAGUGGGUGCUGGUGCAGCCCGGGCCCUCUCCCUUUCGGGCCCCUCACUUACAGGGGUGCUCUAGGAGGAAGUGGGGAGAACUCAGGGGAGCAGGAAGCCGGGGGCGGGGAUGGGCGUGUGGAGGGCUCCGGGCCUCUUUCCCUUGGCCCCCCCUCCCCAGGUGGCGGGGGCAGAGCCCAGAGCCUGGUUUUCUGCCAGGGAAGCCAGCAGGCGGCUGUUUCACACACUCCGACAGCAGCCGCCCUUCCUGGUUCUCAACCCCUAGCGGGAGGUGCUUGCUUGAAGCCCGGCGCUUGGAAGGAGGCGGGGAGGCCUGCCGAGGUCUGGAGGAGAGGCGGCGAAGGAGGAGGAAGGCUGCCUCCCCCUCUCCCAGGUCCCCCUGCAGCGCUGGGCUGUGACAGGCCAGCGCCUGGGACUCCGAGGAAGCUGCUUACAUAACUCUGCCGGACUCCCGGCUUCCUCUUGCAUUGCUCCCUGGAGGGGCCAUGCAGGAGCCACCGCUUUGCUUUGAUUCCCGGGUCCGAGAGGUCCUGAUGACCAUGCCCCUGCCUCAGGCGGCGGCGGUGUGUGCUGCCCACACCAUCUCGGCAGGAGAGCCGUGUGCCGGCCUUCGUGGAGGCCCCGGGCUGCCUCUGCGCCCUGCCCGCUUCCCACGCUCCUGGAGCGGAGCUGCCAAGGGGAGAAGCCUCAUUAGAGGAAGCAGGCCGUGUCCUGAGCUCAUUUGCCUGCCAAGGGCUCAGAGGGGAGCUGACCUCUCUGCCAGCAGAGGAACAGAGAGGCAGCACUUCUCAGUUUGUUCCCCUCGGUUCUACAAACAUCGCUGGGUGCCAGGCCCGGACGUCCACGCGAGGCACGUCCCCGAAGCCAGAUGGCCCCCCGCGGUGGCGAGUGUCUCGCCCGCCCGGGAGGAAGCUGGCUUAAGGAGCAGCUCUGCUUCUGUCUCCCACCUGAGCCUGCCCUUUCUCGCAGGCUGGGGCCUGGCCGUCCUGGGUUCGGGGGUGGCAGGGCCCUCGUGAUGAGGACACACGGGGGUGCCCCUGGGCUGGGUGUUGUCAGCCGCGCUGUCCUCCCAAGGAGGUUGCCGUGAACAAACACAUCUGUGAGUAUCUGCCACAUCACAGGCCUGGGGCCGGGCCCCCGAGGUAUGAAGAGGAAACAGACAAGUCUCAGGCCUUGUGCUGCUUAAAGCUUUUGGGGGGAGAGGAAAUAGAUCAUCCCAACAUGCUAUGAGAAGGGGGGAUUGGUUUACACCGCGGGCAGAGCAAGCCCAGUAGUGAGGGUUGGAGGCAGCUGCCCAGAAAGGGGGGGCGGGGGUCGCUGUAACAAGGUUUUGGAGGCAAGUUUGACAUGAACCAGAGGUGACACUUGUCUUGGUGGUGCCUGUGAGCGAUGUCCCCAGCGGGAACUGACUUCCUUCACCAGAUUCUCAGGACGCCACUCUGUGCCAGGCGCAGAGUCGGAUGCUCAAUUCAGCGGCUCUCCGUAAAGGCUGUCCUGGGACUGCAAACAUUUAGGGGUGCAAAGCGAAAGUUCUCCCAGGUGGCAUCCCAGUGAAUGGUUGAGCCUGAAGAGACGUGGCAGGUGUAAGAGGAGACACCGGGCUAAGCAACUCCUCCAUGGAAACCAGGGGCUGCCCUGGUCUCUGCUGGCAGAGGGCAGGGGGAGCAAAGCCCUUCCUCCAGCCAGGAAGACCCACCAGAGGUCAUUCAGCUGUUCUGGGAAGGAGUGAUGGACGUGCAAGAGCUGGGAAACCGUGUCUUAUGAGAAAAAGCUCUAGGCUUGGGGCUGGGGUGGGGACAGGGCACAGGUACCACCUGCAGCUCUGAGGGCCACCUCUGGGAGGACCCAGGCCAGGCGGUGGCGGUGGGGGUGGCAUGGUAGACAGAGGGUGCUCGUCUGGGCUUCUCACCUCCCCUCUCUCAGUAGGUUUGUGUCUGUGGGCUGAGUUUUUCAGCCUCUGGGCAUGGGGUUUCCAUCCCUGCUGUGUUGUAUCUGUGCUCAUGAAAGCGCCCAGCACAUUAGCAGGUUGAUUUUUUUGUGGGUCUCUAUAGCUCCAGGGCAGUGGAAGAAACCCAGAAGCAUUUUUCAUCUCCGGGAGGAGAACUUUCUCUUUUUUUUUUUGGCAACAGAUUUUAAUUUCCUAAAAAAAAUGACAGAGAUGAUCACAGGGCCUAAUGGAGUGGUUAAUAUGCACAUAUUCAUUUUUCAUCUGAUUUAGAGUGCUGACUUCAGCAGCAGCGUCGCCCUGUACAUACUUGAAACAAUCCAGCCGUCUCUGAUGGUCACAACCUUUUGAGUCAACAUCACAAAAAAAAAAAAAAAAA
RNAcentral lists this long non-coding RNA (8289 nucleotides) under Sus scrofa (pig). RNAcentral's name for it is "lncRNA (ENSSSCG00015070484.1)". The record is from RNAcentral. Lineage: Eukaryota; Metazoa; Chordata; Mammalia; Artiodactyla; Suidae.